Molecule: ribosomal RNA, 500 nt
Filed under: uncultured bacterium
Lineage: Bacteria
Description: partial 16S ribosomal RNA
Rfam family: Bacterial small subunit ribosomal RNA
Source: RNAcentral
AUUGAACGCUGGCGGCAUGCCUUACACAUGCAAGUCGAACGGUAACAGGGUGCUUGCACCGCUGACGAGUGGCGAACGGGUGAGUAAUGCGUCGGAACGUGCCGAGUAGUGGGGGAUAACGCAGCGAAAGUUGUGCUAAUACCGCAUACGUACUGAGGUAGAAAGUGGGGGACCUUCGGGCCUCACGCUAUUCGAGCGGCCGACGUCAGAUUAGCUAGUAGGUGAGGUAAAGGCUCACCUAGGCGACGAUCAGUAGCGGGUCUGAGAGGAUGAGCCGCCACACUGGGACUGAGACACGGCCCAGACUCCUACGGGAGGCAGCAGAGGGGAAUAUUGCACAAUGGGCGCAAGCCUGAUGCAGCGACGUCGCGUGGAGGAUGACGGUUUUCGGAUUGUAAACUCCUGUUAAGUGGGAAGAAAGAGGCUUUGCUAAUAACAGAGCAAGAUGACGUUACCACUAAAGAAAGCACCGGCUAACUUCGUGCCAGCAGCCGCCGUAA